Molecule: unclassified non-coding RNA, 200 nt
Filed under: soil metagenome
Description: partial contains 5.8S ribosomal RNA, internal transcribed spacer 2, and large subunit ribosomal RNA
Source: RNAcentral
GCAUGCCUGUUCGAGCGUCAUUAUGACCAAUCACGCAAGUGGUAUUGGGGCUUGCCGCCUGGCAUCCCUUAAAAACAGUGGCGGUGCUAUAGGCUCUCAGCGUAGUAAUUAUUCCGCUGUUGAACCCUAGAAACACCCGCCAGCAACCCCAACUUUCUUAGGUUGACCUCGGAUCAGGUAGGGAUACCCGCUGAACUUAA